This 113-nucleotide ribosomal RNA is filed under the name Aotus nancymaae (Ma's night monkey). The record is from RNAcentral. Lineage: Eukaryota; Metazoa; Chordata; Mammalia; Primates; Aotidae.
CCUAAUAGCACCCUGAACAUGCCAGGUUUUGUCUGAUCUCAGAAGCUAAGCAGGGUUGGGGCCUGGUUAGUACCUGGAUGGGAGACUGCCUGGAAAUACCGGGUUCUGUAGGC